GCGUAGUCGAUGGGAAACGGGUUAAUAUUCCCGUACUUGGUGUUACUGCGAAGGGGGGACGGAGAAGGCUAUGUUGGCCGGGCGACGGUUGUCCCGGUUUAAGCGUGUAGGUGUGUGUUCCAGGUAAAUCCGGUUCACUUUAACACUGAGGCGUGACGACGAGGCACUACGGUGCUGAAGCAACAAAUGCCCUGCUUCCAGGAAAAGCCUCUAAGCAUCAGGUAACACGAAAUCGUACCCCAAACCGACACAGGUGGUCAGGUAGAGAAUACCAAGGCGCUUGAGAGAACUCGGGUGAAGGAACUAGGCAAAAUGGUGCCGUAACUUCGGGAGAAGGCACGCUGACACGUAGGUGAAGUGAUUUACUCAUGGAGCUGAAGUCAGUCGAAGAUACCAGCUGGCUGCAACUGUUUAUUAAAAACACAGCACUGUGCAAACACGAAAGUGGACGUAUACGGUGUGACGCCUGCCCGGUGCCGGAA
This 482-nucleotide ribosomal RNA is filed under the name Salmonella enterica subsp. enterica serovar Typhimurium. RNAcentral describes it as "partial 23S ribosomal RNA". It matches the Rfam family "Bacterial large subunit ribosomal RNA", at positions 1409 to 1874 of the family's 2925-position model. Lineage: Bacteria; Pseudomonadati; Pseudomonadota; Gammaproteobacteria; Enterobacterales; Enterobacteriaceae. The record is from RNAcentral.